This is a long non-coding RNA of Herpailurus yagouaroundi (jaguarundi), 382 nucleotides long. RefSeq lists it as uncharacterized. The transcript is spliced from 3 exons. NCBI's taxonomy places the organism in Eukaryota, Metazoa, Chordata, Mammalia, Carnivora, Felidae. The record is from RefSeq and is a predicted model, not a curated record.
CUUUGUUUCCCACGGGUGGUUCUGGCUGCUCUCACCUCAAGUCUGUGGAAUUUUCAGAAGACUCUCAUUCAAGUGGCAGAAUCAGCGGAACGUGUGUGACCUUCACUGCAUUGUUGAAUGAUUGCCCAUCAGAAAAUACAAAGAGUAAAAGACUACUGGGCAAGGAUAAAUUCUAGAAAUUGAAAUACUGAGUCCAAGAGUAUGAACAACCCUUCAAGGUCCUAAAUGGGGGAGGACCAGAGCUGGUUAUUUAUUUAUUUAUUUAUUUAUUUAUUUAUUUAUUUAUUUAUUGUCCUGGGUAUCUGCCGUCAUGCUACUAGCUAGGUAGACAGCAGGUAAUAGGUGUGGUAAUGAUUCAGGGCCUGGGCAGGCCCUGGAGAAA